CAGCAGCCGCGGUAAUACGUAGGUGGCAAGCGUUGUCCGGAAUUAUUGGGCGUAAAGGGCUCGCAGGCGGUUUCUUAAGUCUGAUGUGAAAGCCCCCGGCUCAACCGGGGAGGGUCAUUGGAAACCGGGAAACUUGAGUGCAGAAGAGGAGAGUGGAAUUCCACGUGUAGCGGUGAAAUGCGUAGAGAUGUGGAGGAACACCAGUGGCGAAGGCGACUCUAUGGUCUGUAACUGACGCUGAGGAGCGAAAGCGUGGGGAGCGAACAGGAUUAGAUACCCCUGUAGUCCCUGUCUCUUAUAC
Molecule: ribosomal RNA, 301 nt
Filed under: uncultured bacterium
Lineage: Bacteria
Description: partial 16S ribosomal RNA
Rfam family: Bacterial small subunit ribosomal RNA
Source: RNAcentral